AGGCUACUGCUAUUGGAAUUCGACUAAGCCAUGCGAGUCAAGGUGUCUUCGGACGCCGGCAAACGGCUCAGUAACACGUAGGUAAUCUACCCUCAGGACUGAGAUAACCCCGGGAAACUGGGGCUAAUACCAGAUAGAUAAAAGAUACUGGAAUGUUCUUUUAUCCAAAGCUUUUGUGCCUGAGGAUGAGCCUGCGCCCGAUUAGGUAGUUGGUGGGGUAAUGGCCCACCAAGCCUGCGAUCGGUACGGGCAGUGGGAGCUGUAGCCCGGAGUUGGGGACUGAGACAAGGCCCCAGGCCCUACGGGGCGCAGCAGGCGCGAAACCUCUGCAAUGCGGGAAACCGUGACAGGGGGAUUCCAAGUGCUCAUGCAUUGCAUGGGCUGUUCUUUGGUCUAAGUAACCAGAGGAGUAAGGGCUGGGCAAGACCGGUGCCAGCCGCCGCGGUAAUACCGGCAGCUCGAGUGGUAGCCGCGAUUAUUGGGCCUAAAACGUUCGUAGCCGGAUAAGUAAGUCUUUGGUUAAAUCCUACGACUUAACCGUGGGAAAUCUAGAGAUACUGCUUGUCUUGAGACCGGGAGAGGUUGGAGGUACUCCCAGGGUAGGGGUGAAAUCCUGUAAUCCUGGGGGGACCACCUGUGGCGAAGGCGUCCAACUGGAACGGCUCUGACGGUGAGGGACGAAACCUAGGGGAGCGAGCCGGAUUAGAUACCCGGGUAGUCCUAGCCGUAAACGAUACUCGCUAGGUGUCGGCCACGGUGCGACCGUUGUCGGUGCCGUAGGGAAGCCGUGAAGCGAGCCACCUGGGAAGUACGGCCGCAAGGCUGAAACUUAAAGGAAUUGGCGGGGGAGCACCACAACGGGUGGAGCUUGCGGUUUAAUUGGAUUCAACGCCGGAAAUCUUACCGGGACCGACAGCAAUAUGAAGGCCAGGCUGAAGACUUUGCCGGAUUAGCUGAGAGGUGGUGCAUGGCCGUCGUCAGUUCGUACUGUGAAGCAUCCUGUUAAGUCAGGCAACGAGCGAGACCCACGCCCACAGUUGCCAGCGUACUCUCUGGAGUGACGGGUACACUGUGGGGACCGCCGCUGCUAAAGCGGAGGAAGGAAUGGGCAACGGUAGGUCAGUAUGCCCCGAAUAUCCCGGGCUACACGCGAGCUACAAUGGUUGGUACAAUGGGUAUCUACCCCGAAAGGGGACGGGAAUCUCCUAAAACCAAUCUUAGUUCGGAUUGAGGGCUGCAACUCGCCCUCAUGAAGCUGGAAUCCGUAGUAAUCGCGUUUCAACAGAACGCGGUGAAUACGUCCCUGCUCCU
RNAcentral lists this ribosomal RNA (1311 nucleotides) under uncultured archaeon. RNAcentral's name for it is "bacterial SSU rRNA". It matches the Rfam family "Archaeal small subunit ribosomal RNA", at positions 21 to 1337 of the family's 1478-position model. The record is from RNAcentral.